This 217-nucleotide long non-coding RNA is filed under the name Salvia miltiorrhiza (redroot sage). RNAcentral's name for it is "long non-coding RNA (SMIL_LNC000287)". The record is from RNAcentral. Lineage: Eukaryota; Viridiplantae; Streptophyta; Magnoliopsida; Lamiales; Lamiaceae.
UUGGGGUUGGGUUAUACCUUAAGUUAAGUUCCAUUGCUUUCCUUCCAUUUCGGAGUUUCCUCUAUUUCUUUCAUUCCAUUUCCUUUUUCUUUACCUCCAUCUUGAGGUGGUGUACAUAUCUUGUUUGUGCGUGAACUUUUUCCUUCUCCAUUUGUUGUAGUGACUCAGUGGUGAGAGCCUCGUUCAUUGCUUGUUCCUUCGUAAUAUCUCCCUGGUU